UGGAAGGGGUGUAUUUAUUAGAUUAAAAACCAAUGCCCUUCGGGGCUCUCUGGUGAUUCAUAAUAACUUCUCGUUUCGCACGGCCUUGCGCCGGCGAUGGUUCAUUCAAAUUUCUGCCCUAUCAACUUUCGACGGCUGGGUCUUGGCCAGCCAUGGUGACAACGGGUAACGGAGGGUUAGGGCUCGACCCCGGAGAAGGAGCCUGAGAAACGGCUACUACAUCCAAGGAAGGCAGCAGGUGCGCAAAUUACCCAAUCCCGACACGGGGAGGUAGUGACAACAAAUACUGAUACAGGGCUCUUUCGGGUCUUGUAAUUGGAAUGAGUACAAUUUAAAUCCCUUAACGAGGAACAAUUGGAGGGCAAGUCUGGUGCCAGCAGCCGCGGUAAUUCCAGCUCCAAUAGCGUAUAUUAAAGUUGUUGAGGUUAAAAAGCUCGUAGUUGAACCUUGGGACUAGCCGGCCGGUCCGCCUCACCGCGUGCACUGGCUCGGCUGGGUCUUUCCUUCUGGAGAACCGCAUGCCCUUCACUGGGUGUGCCGGGGAACCAGGACUUUUAC
RNAcentral lists this ribosomal RNA (558 nucleotides) under uncultured Madurella. RNAcentral's name for it is "SSU rRNA". It matches the Rfam family "Eukaryotic small subunit ribosomal RNA", at positions 193 to 755 of the family's 1831-position model. Lineage: Eukaryota; Fungi; Ascomycota. The record is from RNAcentral.